GAUGAGCGCUAGCUACAGGCUUAACACAUGCAAGUCGAGGGGAAACGGCAUCGAAAGCUUGCUUUUGAUGGGCGUCGACCGGCGCACGGGUGAGUAACGCGUAUCCAACCUGCCCAUCACUUGGGAAUAACCUUGCGAAAGUAAGACUAAUGCCCAAUGACAUCCCACGAAGGCAUCCGAAUGGGAUUAAAGAUUUAUCGGUGAUGGAUGGGGAUGCGUCUGAUUAGCUUGUUGGCGGGGUGACGGCCCACCAAGGCAACGAUCAGUAGGGGUUCUGAGAGGAAGGUCCCCCACAUUGGAACUGAGACACGGUCCAAACUCCUACGGGAGGCAGCAGUGAGGAAUAUUGGUCAAUGGGCGAGAGCCUGAACCAGCCAAGUAGCGUGCAGGAUGACGGCCCUAUGGGUUGUAAACUGCUUUUAUAAGGGAAUAAAGUGGGUCACGUGUGACUUUUUGCAUGUACCUUAUGAAUAAGGACCGGCUAAUUCCGUG
This 492-nucleotide ribosomal RNA is filed under the name uncultured bacterium. Its description in RNAcentral is "partial 16S ribosomal RNA". It matches the Rfam family "Bacterial small subunit ribosomal RNA", at positions 28 to 507 of the family's 1533-position model. The record is from RNAcentral.